UGCCAACGGGAGAGACAGCUGGAGUAUCUAAACCAAGAGCUUUGAUCUUAGUAUCUGUAAAAAAGAGGUCAUUUGGUCUCCCAGGAAGCAGAGACAUUUAGAAGGUCCCUGUACAACUCAUGCAAGUAUUUUAUUAACGACAAUUUUUAUUCAAAUGUAGUGCUCUGGACCACUCUGUCUGGAUUUUGUCUGAUGUCAUUUUAAGCUUGACCAGUAGAAGGAAGAUUGGACAAGGAGAUAUUGAGAAGGAGGGCAAAAUCAUCAGUUCCCUAUAGGAGCUUCAGAUCUUGGAGCUCACGGGGAAAACUACCCUCACCCACCCUGCAGGAGGAGCACAAUGGCACCCUCUGUUGCCCUGCAUGCUGCUCCCAUGUGGAUGUAUGAAAUCCCAAAGGUAUCCAUUCCCCACCUCCAAAUCUCAUCUCUUUCCACCGAGCUUCCUUGUUUCUUUGGAGUUAUCCUGUUAUUUCCAUUUGUAAUAAAAUCCGUCUUGUUCUUUUUGUACCAAGUGGAGAAACACUGAGAGGAUUGCCACGCUCAUUUCAUUAACAGUGGCCUCCUGUCCCCAUUUUUGUCCUCCCUAAAUGGCAGCUCCUUGCAACAGCUGUAUUAACCACUGAGCUCAGCCCUGCAAAGCGGUGGUCAUUUCCAGCAUUAACUGGAAAGCAAUUAGUCUUGAUGAGAUUGGAGUGUCCAACUUUCAUGCAAUCAAUUAAAUUACAGCUUUUCUUUCAUUUGGUUAAACAAAAACUCGAUUCAUUAAUUAAAAUACAUAGUGAAUCUGAUUUUUCUCUGAUCCUCUGUGUGUUCGUAAGCAAGCAACCAGUUCCUUUUAGGAACCAAAACAAAAUUCCUUCUGGAGCAUGACAAGUUUUCACUCCUAAUCACCUUUACUUUUCUCCACGUGAACACACUUUAAUUGCUCAUUAAUACAGAGUUAACAGGCUGACACACAACCGGCUGCUUCUUUUUGGACUUCUCUAACAAUGACUUUUUUUGUGUGUGUUUGGUAAUGAAACCAGACAUUUCUGAGAGUCAAUCAACUUUUUCUGUGUUUUGCUCCCAUGCCAUGCUGUAUAGGAUUGUACAAUUACCUCUCUGUGAUGUUAUUAUUCAGGACUGAUUUUACUGUGAUGGUGUAAGAGGAAUUAGAUAUGUCCUUUCUAUUGCUGUUGAUAUGACUGUGUCUAUUUUCCCUAAAUGCAGUCUGAAAGAAUAAUCAGAAGCAGUACAUAGAACUCAUCGCUUAGAAAUGAUUACUCAGAAGUCACUAAAUGUUGUUAGUGUAAACAGAUUUUUGUAAAAGCUGUGUUUUGUCCAGCACUUUUAGAUGAAAAUAUUUAAACUGAAGAAAAGUCUUCAAUUUUUCAAAUUAUAAUGUAAAAGAUUUCAGCAAGAAUUAAAAAUCUGACAUAAGGUCCAGUAUAAAAAAGUAUUUCAGUGCAUCUCUUUGACAAACACAAAUGAUCUGUUGAAGUAUAACAAAAAAUGAGUUGGAAAUAUCUGAUGUACUGUGUCUGUUCAGCUUUAAGCAGCCUCACCUACUGUGCCAAUGACUUACAGUCAGCUUUGGAUUUUGUGUGCUCGUCAUCAGCCUUCAGGAUCCACACUACAUUUGCUUCCUUUGAUUCCAAAAAGAUUUUGUCAACAAAUUGAACUGAGUUUUAUCCCAGGCCUCACAAAUACAACCAUGUUUGACAGUUGUGGGAAAGAAAAGAGUUCAAGCAGCAUCUAUUGUUUGUUCAGAAAUAUCUAAUGUCAUAAAUCGAAUUACUCGUAAUGAUUCCAUACUAAUUUGUUAUUUGAGUCCUUUGCAGGUCCACUUUCUCCCAGAUAAUGGGAGACGAGAGGAAUUGCCUAAGCUUUUGAUGCUGUGUAGAUCUCUGCUGAAACACAUUCUGAUUGCUACUGAUCCAGAUAUCUUUUUUUUUUUUUGUAAGCUUAAGCCCACAAGCUUCAGAAUUCAACUUAAAAGA
This is a long non-coding RNA of Tympanuchus pallidicinctus (lesser prairie-chicken), 1976 nucleotides long. RefSeq lists it as uncharacterized. Lineage: Eukaryota; Metazoa; Chordata; Aves; Galliformes; Phasianidae. The record is from RefSeq and is a predicted model, not a curated record. The transcript has 4 exons.